Molecule: long non-coding RNA, 501 nt
Organism: Sciurus carolinensis (gray squirrel)
Lineage: Eukaryota; Metazoa; Chordata; Mammalia; Rodentia; Sciuridae
Exons: 3
Source: RefSeq, a predicted model, not a curated record
CCAGGAGUUAAGAAGGGGAGGCAUUGAGAGACUCGGACUGAAAUAGAGCCACAGGUAAAUCAUUUCCGGUUUUGGAAGCACUAGUGUUGCUGGGUCAUUUGAGCAUUUGCUAACUGGAGAGGUCAUCCUGGAAUAGAUCCAAACACCUGGAACAGGUGCUGUGGGCUCCUCAAAUGAAUCCUGUUUGCAUUCACAUCCCUUAUUUCUAUACUAAGGGUGGGCUAGAGUUUGAGAUUGUAAAGUAAUGCCAGGUGGGGACAUUCACCACUAUAGUAACAGGGACUGCAGAAAAUAAUGAGAGCUUUCAAUUAUGACAUAGGAAUGAAGGAUGAAAAGUCCAGGAAGAUUUAUCUGGAAUGGAUGAAGUUUCACAGGUGACACUGCUGUUUUAAAAUAUUUGAAGGAUUUUAUAUGUAAGAGAAGGGAUUUUACUUUUUCUACAUGGUCAUAAAGUAUAAAUUAUACAAACCUAUAUGAAAAAUCGACUUGGUUUGCAAUAAA